This 422-nucleotide ribosomal RNA is filed under the name uncultured bacterium. Its description in RNAcentral is "partial 16S ribosomal RNA". It matches the Rfam family "Bacterial small subunit ribosomal RNA", at positions 359 to 774 of the family's 1533-position model. The record is from RNAcentral.
GAAUCUUCCGCAAUGGACGAAAGUCUGACGGAGCAACGCCGCGCGAGGGAUGAAGGUUUUCGGAUCGUAAAGCUCUGUUGCCAGGGAAGAACGCUUGGGAUAGUAACUGAUCCCAAGGUGACGGUACCUGAGAAGAACGCACCGGCUAACGACGUGCCAGCAGCCGCGGUAAUACGUAGGGGGCAAGCGUUGUCCGGAAUGAUUGGGCGUAAAGCGCGCGCAGGCGGCCUUGUAAGUCUGUUGUUUAAACUUGGGGCUCAACCCCAAGUCGCAAUGGAAACUGCAAAGCUUGAGUACAGAAGAGGAAAGUGGAAUUCCACGUGUAGCGGUGAAAUGCGUAGAGAUGUGGAGGAACACCAGUGGCGAAGGCGGCUCACUGGCUCGAUACUGACGCUGAGGUGCGAAAGCGUGGGGAGCAAACA